AGACAGGGUCUUGCUCUGUCACCUAGUCUGGAGUCCAGUGGCGCCAUCUCGGCUCACUGCAACCUCUGCCUCCUGGAUUCUCCUGCCUCAGCCUCCCAAGUAGCUGGGACUACAGGCACAUGCCACCAUACCCAGCUAAUUUUUGUAUUUUGGGUGGAGAUGGGGUUUCGCCAUAUUGCCCAGGCUGGUCUUGAAUUCCUGGGCUCAAAUGAUCUGCCCGCCUUGGCCUCCCAAAGUGCUGAGAUUACAGGCAUGAGCCACCACGCCCAGCCUUUUCUAGCUUGUCUAUCAUCCAUCACUAUAACUACUCCUUCCCUCUGUCUCCUCCCAUUGUGCUUGCCUGGCAAAGCCCUACUCCACAUAAAUUCAACCAUUUGCUUUCCGAGUGCUUUUGCUACAGCAAAAUCACAAUACCAGGCAGGUUAUCUUCACUCAUGUUCAUGAUCCUAACCUCAAACGGACUGUCAAUACUGCUGGGUAAUUCCUACUACGUUUCCCCAUUAAGUUUGCUUUUCCACUCUCAAGAAGAAUUUUUUCCCUAGGCUCUCUCUGCAAAACCUCUACCCCUCUCAUCUUAGCUGAUGACCUAGCCACCAUGUUACUAAGGAAAUAGAAGCAAUAGGAAAUACCCUGUCAUUCCUACCACAGCCUACAAACCCAUCUGCAUCUCCGCCUACUUACAUCUGUCUCCUCCUAGUGCUCUGAGAAGUGGAUGUCCCUUUGCUAAAGACUAGCCAAUCCUGGCCAGGCACAGUGGCUCACACCUAUAAUCCCAGGAGUUUGGGAGGCCAAGGCAGGCAGAUUGCUUGAGCCCAGGAGUUUGAGACCAGCCUGGGCAAUGUAAAGAGACCCCCAUCUCUACAAAAAAAUGUAAAAAAUUAGCCAGGCGUGCUGAUACACCCCUGUAGUCCCAGCUACUUGGGAGGCUGAGGUAGGAGGAUAGCUUGGGCCCAGGAGGUUGAGGCUACAGUGAGCUGUGAUCAUGCCACUGCACUCCAGCCUGGAUGACCCUGUCUAUAAAAAAAAAAAAAAAAAAAAAAAAAAAAAAAAAAAAAACUAGCCAAUAAAAACUAGCCAAUCCCACGGCAAAACCUAUGGAACUUCCUCUCUCCCAUCUUCAAGGACCUAGUUCCUAAAAUCUAAAUCUCCCCCUUCAGCACACAAACAUGCUCUCUAGUCUUUAAAAAAUAGUAACACAGGCUGGGUGCAGUGGCUCACGCCUGUAAUCCCAGCACUUUGGGAGGCCGAGGCGGGCAGAUCACAAGAUCAGGAGUUCAAGACCAACCUGACCAAUAUAGUGAAACCCCGCCUCUACUAAAAAUACAAUAAUUAGCCAGGCAUGGUGGCACACACCUGUAGUCCCAGCUACUCAGGAGGCUGAGGCAAGAGACUCACUUGAACCCAGGAGGUGGAGGUUGCAGUGAGCCAAGAUUGCUCCACUGCAUCCCAGCCUGGGCGACAGAGCGAGACUCUGUCUCAAAAAAAAAAAAAAAAAAAAAAGUAACAUAGUCACUCUGGAAAACAGUUUGGCAUUUUCUUAAAAAACUAAACAUGCAGCUACCACAUGACCAAGAAAUUGCAUGCCUGGGCAUUUAUCCCAGAGAAAUGAAGACUUAUGUUCACACAAAAACCGGUACAUAUAUGUUCAUAGCAGCUUUAUCCAUAAUAAUAGCAAAAACUUAAAAUUAGCUCAGGUAUCCUUCAGUAGGUGAAUGGUUAAAGAAACCAUGGUGCAUCCACACCAUGGAAUAUUGCUCAGCAACAAACAGGAAUGAACUAUCAACACACAGCAACUUGGAUGACUCUCCAAGGAAUUAUGCUGGUUAUUUGUUGUUGUUUUGAGACAGGGUCUCACUCUGUGGCCCAGACUGGCAUGUAGUGGCAUGAUCACAGUUCACUGCAGCCUCACCUCUAACUUCCAAUCUCAAGUGAUCCUCCCACCUCAGCCUCACAAGUAGCUGGGACUAUAAGUGUGCACCACAUCAGGCUAAUUUUUUUAUUUUUUGUAGAGAUGGGAUCUCACUAUGUUGCCCAGGCUGGUCUGAAACUCCUGGAAUCAAGCAAUCCUCCUGCCGCAUCCUCCCAAAGUGCUGGGAUUACAGACAUGAGCCAACGAGCCUGGCCCUGAUUUUAAAAAGGUUACAUACUGUAUGAUUCUAUUUAUAUAACAGCUUGUUUUUUUGUUUUUGUUUUUUGAGACACAGUCUCGCGCUGUAGCCCAUGCUGGAGUGCAGUGGCGCAAUCUCGGCUCACUGCAAGCUCUGCCUCCUGGGUUCAUGCCAUUCUCCUGCCUCAGCCUCCCUCCCAAGUAGCUGGGACUACAGGUGCCCGCUACCACGCCUGGCUAAUCUUUUGUAUUUUUAGUAGAGACGGGGUUUCACCGUGUUAGCCAGGAUGGUCUCGAUCUCCUGACCUCGUGAUCCGCCCACCUCAGCCUCCCAAAGUGCUGGGAUUACAGGCGGGAGUCACCACGCCCAGCCUGGUUUUUUUGUUUUUUGAGACAGGGUCUCGUUCUGUCACCCACGUUGGAGUGCAGUGGCACAAUCUCGUCCACUGCAGCCUUCGCCUCCUGGGUUCAAGCAAUUCUCCUGCCUCAGCCUCCUGAGUAGCUGUGAUUACAGGUGUGUACCACCAUGACUGGCUAAUUUUUUUAUUUUUAGGAGAGACGGGGUUUCACCAUGUUGGCCAGGCUGGUCUUGAACUUCUGGCCUCAGAUGAUUCACCUGCCUCGGGCUUCCAAAGUGCUGGGAUUACAGGUGUGAGCCACCGCACCCGGCCUUAUAUAACGGUUUUUGAAAUGACAAAAUUUUCGACCGGGCAUGGUAGCUCACGCCUAUAAUCCUAGCACUGUGGGAGGCCGAGAUGGGCAGAUCACCUGAGGCCAGGAGUUUGAGACCAGCCUGGUCAAUAUGGCAAAACCCCAUCUCUACCAAAAAUUUAAAAAAAUCAGUCACUGUGGUGGUGGGCACCUAUAAUCUCAGUUACUCGGAAGGCUGAGGCAGGAGAAUCUCUUGAACCCGGAAGGCGUAGGUUGCAGUGAGCCAAGAUUGCUCCAUUGCUUCCAGCCUGGACAACAAAAGCGAAAUUCCAUCCCCCCAAAAAAAAAAGAGAGAGAUAACAAAAUUUUCAAAAUGAAGGUUGCCAGGAGUUUGGAAUGGGGCCUGGGAGGAGUCAGGAGGGAAACACGUGUGGAUAUCAAAGGGCAACCCUGAGGGAUCUUUGUGGUAUUGGAACUGUUCAGCAGUGGAGGAUAUACGAACCUACAUGUGUGAUGAAAUUGUAUUGAACUACACACCCAUACACACACACACACACACACACACUCACACACUAGUACAAAUAAAACUGGGGACAUCUGAGUAAGUUUGGUGGAUUUUAUCAAUGUCGAUAUCCUGGUUAUGAUACUGUGCGAUAGUUUUGUAGAAUGCUACCACUGGGGUAACUGGGAAAAGUGUGUAAGGGAUCUCUCACUAUUACUUCUUAUUGCAUGUAAGUCUACAAUUACCUCAAUAAAGCGUUUUUUUGUUUUUUUUUUUUUGAGACGGAGUCUCACUCUGUCACCCAGGCUGGAGUGCAGUGGUGCAAUCUCGGCUCACGGCAAGCUCCGCCUACCGGGUUCAUGCCAUUCUCCUGCCUCAGCCUCCCGAGUAGCUGGGACUACAGGCGCCCGCCACCAUGCCCGGCUAAUUUUUUUGUAUUUUUAGUGGAGAUGGUCUCGAUCUCCUGACCUCGUGAUCCGCCUGCCUUGGCCUCCCAAAGUGCUGGGAUUACAGGCGUGAGCCACCGUGCCCAGCCUUUUUUUCUCUUUUUGAGAUAGAGUCUUGCUGUGCUGCCCAUGCUGGAGUGCAGUGGCACCGUCUUGGCUCACUGCAACCUCUGCCUCCCGAGUUCAAGCAAUUCUUGUGCCUCAGCCUCCUGGGUAGCUGGGAUUACAGGUGUACGCCACUACACCCAACUACUUUUUUUUUUUUUUUUUUUUUGAGACAGUUUUGCCCUUGUUGCCCAGGCUAGAGUGCAAUGGCGUGAUCUCGGCUCACUGCAACCUCCACCCCCCAGGUUCAAGCAAUUAUCCUGCCUCACCCUCCCGAGUAGCUGUGAUUACAGGCAUGCACCAUCACUCCUGGCUAAUUUUUGUAUUUUUAGUAGAGACAGGGUUUUACUACGUUGGCCAGGCUGGUCUCGAACUCUGGAUCUCAGGUGAUCUGCCCGCCUCGGCCUCCCAAAAUGCUGGGAUUACAGGCAUGAGC
This 4247-nucleotide long non-coding RNA is filed under the name Homo sapiens (human). RNAcentral describes it as "HSALNT0381786". The record is from RNAcentral. Lineage: Eukaryota; Metazoa; Chordata; Mammalia; Primates; Hominidae.